AGAGGAAGUAAAAGUCGUAACAAGGUCUCCGUUGGUGAACCAGCGGAGGGAUCAUUAUUAGAAGCCGAAAGGCUACUUAAAACCAUCGCGAACUCGUCCAAGUUGCUUCGGCGGCGCGGCCUCCCCCACGGGGGCGCCGCAGCCCCGCCUCUCCGGAGGUGUAGGCGCCCGCCGGAGGUACGAAACUCUGUAUUAUAGUGGCAUCUCUGAGUAAAAACAAAUAAGUUAAAACUUUCAACAACGGAUCUCUUGGUUCUGGCAUCGAUGAAGAACGCAGCGAAAUGCGAUAAGUAAUGUGAAUUGCAGAAUUCAGUGAAUCAUCGAAUCUUUGAACGCACAUUGCGCCCGCUAGUACUCUAGCGGGCAUGCCUGUUCGAGCGUCAUUUCAACCCUCAAGCCCUGCUUGGUGUUGGGGCCCUACGGCUGCCGUAGGCCCUGAAAGGAAGUGGCGGGCUCGCUACAACUCCGAGCGUAGUAAUUCAUUAUCUCGCUAGGGACGUUGCGGCGCGCUCCUGCCGUUAAAGACCAUC
This 530-nucleotide ribosomal RNA is filed under the name Coniochaeta sp. F66. Its description in RNAcentral is "eukaryotic LSU rRNA". The stretch from base 230 to 383 matches the Rfam family "5.8S ribosomal RNA". The record is from RNAcentral. Lineage: Eukaryota; Fungi; Ascomycota; Sordariomycetes; Coniochaetales; Coniochaetaceae.